CUACGUAGGGUGCAAGCGUUAAUCGGAAUUACUGGGCGUAAAGCGUGCGCAGGCGGUUUUGUAAGACAGAGGUGAAAUCCCCGGGCUCAACCUGGGAACUGCCUUUGUGACUGCAAGGCUAGAGUACGGCAGAGGGGGAUGGAAUUCCGCGUGUAGCAGUGAAAUGCGUAGAUAUGCGGAGGAACACCGAUGGCGAAGGCAAUCCCCUGGGCAUGUACUGACGCUCAUGCACGAAAGCGUGGGGAGCAAACAGGAUUAGAUACCCUGGUAGUCCACGCCCUAAGCGAUGUCAACUGGUUGUUGGGUCUUCAUUGACUCAGUAACGAAGCUAACGCGUGAAGUUGACCGCCUGGGGAGUACGGUCGCAAGGUUGAAACUCAAAUGAAUUGACGGGG
Molecule: ribosomal RNA, 395 nt
Filed under: uncultured bacterium
Lineage: Bacteria
Description: partial 16S ribosomal RNA
Rfam family: Bacterial small subunit ribosomal RNA
Source: RNAcentral